GACGUAGGGCGCGAGCGUUGUCCGGAUUUAUUGGGCGUAAAGAGCUCGUAGGUGGUUUGUCGCGUUGUUCGUGAAAACUCACAGCUCAACUGUGGGCGUGCGGGCGAUACGGGCAGACUUGAGUACUGCAGGGGAGACUGGAAUUCCUGGUGUAGCGGUGGAAUGCGCAGAUAUCAGGAGGAACACCGGUGGCGAAGGCGGGUCUCUGGGCAGUAACUGACGCUGAGGAGCGAAAGCGUGGGGAGCAAACAGG
This 253-nucleotide ribosomal RNA is filed under the name uncultured bacterium. RNAcentral describes it as "partial 16S ribosomal RNA". It matches the Rfam family "Bacterial small subunit ribosomal RNA", at positions 524 to 776 of the family's 1533-position model. The record is from RNAcentral.